This is a long non-coding RNA of Zonotrichia leucophrys gambelii, 1016 nucleotides long. RefSeq lists it as uncharacterized. NCBI's taxonomy places the organism in Eukaryota, Metazoa, Chordata, Aves, Passeriformes, Passerellidae. The transcript is spliced from 3 exons. The record is from RefSeq and is a predicted model, not a curated record.
CAGUGCCAGCUAUCAACAAGCAAACACACACUCUGUGCAGCUUUUUCUGGAUAUUUCCCUUUGAAAACCUUGUUUCUGGAGAUAAUGAUGGACAACAAAAGCAGGGAAUGCAUUGCCAGAGCCCUGUAACAUCACUAGGUACUGACACCUGAGAGCAGGAAAGCAGCUUUUUGCAUCUGCCCUGCUGGGAUCCAUCAGGGGAUGAUGUGGGCCAAUAUCUACAAAAAGGAGCUUGGUACUCACCUGUCAGAUGAAGCUUUGCCUCUUACUGCUGCAGGCCUUGCACAACUUCUUUCUGAACCUGUACAAAAUAACCCAGGACCACAUGCUGCACUUCCCAAAGGCUAAAAUUAGACUGAAGAUGAAUUAAACUGAUGUUUAGCAGGUCACUCUUUUAUUUAUUGUACACUGCAAGAAAAGAAGCAGGAAGACCAUAAAAAAACCUCUACUCUGGCUCAGGGUGAUAGCAGCCAUUAAUAAAGGGAAAAAAAAAAAACCAACAACCUCACAGCAAAAUUAAAGACUUCCCAAGACUCCCACAAAAAGAGAAGAGCGUGCUGAUCAAAAACCAUUUUUGCUGUUGAGCACCUCAUGGUACUGCUAGCAUCAACCAGGAAAAGCUGUGUCAAGUUAAGAGGCCUUCUAAAUACUUGUCAGAAGAAGACGUUUCUUAAGGAACUACAUUUUCUGCUGCUUCAUUUAGACUGUCACUAAAGCACAUAGAUCUUCAGCACCACUACAGAUUAAAUAUAUAUUUUAUUUCUUCUUUAUAAUAAAACUGUAUUUGAGGAGUAUUGACUACUACACAAAUCUGUGUCAGUUUGCUACGCUAGCUUAAUUUUAAACACAUGCAUUAUCCCCAAACAUCUCUAUAACCCCUGUGCGCAUCAGCUGCCUCAGUGUGUGUCCACUUCAGUCCUGUAUUAUUCUUUACUCUUCUGCCUCAAUUACUAACAACACUUUAACUGAGGAUGCUUUUUGCUUUGUCCUACUUGCUUCUCUGUGCUGUUGACAGC